This 398-nucleotide ribosomal RNA is filed under the name uncultured bacterium. RNAcentral describes it as "partial 16S ribosomal RNA". It matches the Rfam family "Bacterial small subunit ribosomal RNA", at positions 523 to 918 of the family's 1533-position model. The record is from RNAcentral.
AUACGUAGGGUGCGAGCGUUGUCCGGAAUUACUGGGCGUAAAGAGCUCGUAGGUGGUUUGUCGCGUCGUCUGUGAAAUUCCGGGGCUUAACCCCGGGCGUGCAGGCGAUACGGGCAUAACUUGAGUACUGUAGGGGAGACUGGAAUUCCUGGUGUAGCGGUGAAAUGCGCAGAUAUCAGGAGGAACGCCGGUGGCGAAGGCGGGUCUCUGGGCAGUAACUGACGCUGAGGAGCGAAAGCAUGGGUAGCGAACAGGAUUAGAUACCCUGGUAGUCCAUGCCGUAAACGGUGGGCGCUAGGUGUAGGGGUCUUCCACGACUUCUGUGCCGUAGCUAACGCAUUAAGCGCCCCGCCUGGGGAGUACGGCCGCAAGGCUAAAACUCAAAUGAAUUGACGGGG